RNAcentral lists this transfer RNA (76 nucleotides) under Thermoplasmata archaeon. RNAcentral's name for it is "tRNA-Ala". It matches the Rfam family "tRNA". Rfam says of the family: Transfer RNA (tRNA) molecules are approximately 80 nucleotides in length. Their secondary structure includes four short double-helical elements and three loops (D, anti-codon, and T loops). RNAcentral also lists the same sequence under 1 other name. The record is from RNAcentral. Lineage: Archaea; Methanobacteriati; Thermoplasmatota; Thermoplasmata.
GGGCUGGUAGAUCAGCUGGAAGAUCGCUUGCUUUGCAAGCAAGAAGUCGCGCGUUCAAAUCGCGCCCAGUCCACCA